Molecule: non-coding RNA, 3951 nt
Organism: Paramisgurnus dabryanus
Lineage: Eukaryota; Metazoa; Chordata; Actinopteri; Cypriniformes; Cobitidae
Source: RefSeq, a predicted model, not a curated record
GUGACGAUCUUUUGGGCGGAACCAAAAGUCGGGAAACUUUGGUUCCGCCCGGAUGUUUCCGUCCAGACCGAAGAACGGAAACACCGGACAUCCGGCAGAUUUGCGGAGGCUGUAAUCAGCCGAUUGGGCACAGCUGUGCCUAGUUAAAAGAGAUCGCCAGGCAAUUGGAUAACUGAAGCACAGAAGGGAGUAUUUAAAGCACAGUUAAAUGACAGUUCAGCAGUUCGGGCACGAGAGGGAGAUUGACACGGGGAGAGCUCCUCUGCUUAGGGCAGGAGAGGUAAAUACGUACCUUUUGAAGAGCCCGCAGGCUCUGUUGAUCCGGGCUGCGCUAGAAGCGCGCGGAAAGAAGACAGGAGCUGCCUGGGGUGAAAGAAAGGCGAUACGUGAGUGGAGAAAAGGAGCACCCCGAAGAGAGCAUUGUGCUGUCAAGCCUGUGCUUAGUGUGUGCUGGGAAACGGAGCUGUGCUCAUUGUUGGACGUGGUGGCUGUCUGUGGUUCUCUCUCUCUCUCGUUGCAGUUUUGAUUGUGGAUCUGCUGGAGUAAACAGGAAAAUCCUAUGGGUAAAAAGGAACUUGUUCUAACCAAUAUUGAAGGAGUAAAGCAGGAAGAAAAUUGACCUUCUGGUACAACGUAAACAAAGGCUAUUCGCCGUGAGUAUACCCUUUUUGUGUGGAGUAACUGGCAAAAGUUAACUUGUGUAACUAUUGGAAACCUCCAGGAGAAGGAGGGCGGCCCUACCCCUAUAAGAGUGUGGUGGGCGAGCCGUGAGAAGUCCAACUUCAAACAGCCACCGCAACGAGACUUAUUGUGGUCGUAUUUCCCAUCGCCUUAUCGUAGCCCAAGCGCAGUGGAGGACACCGGGUGCUUCCCUUGUUGUGGUGCACUUAUAGUGUGGUGAGUGAGACUGUGUAAUAAAUCUUUUUCACGUUUGGAGUGGUGCUGUGUAUAUUGCUGUGGGUUGCUGUGUGUCUUGUAGACGAAGCCCCGCAUCAUCCAUUUUCUUCCACUGGGCAGAGGACGGAGAGGCCAACGACUACAGAAAUCACUGUUACUAUAAGUAGUGUGCUGUUUGGAGUGCGAAGGGACGCAGACUAAGAGCUGUCCGUGACCGUGAGUAAACCAUUGGAAAACAUUUCGUGGUGUGAACUUCCCUGUGCCUGUUUUCGUCGCAGAGUCAGAGGCGAAAGGGUCCGCCGCCCCGUGGUCUCUACGAAAAGGGCGCCCCCGUCUAGAAAUCGAUCGGCCUAUGGGCAUUGGAGAUAGGGCAGCGCUCGACCCGGUGAGGUGGUGUGGGACCUUCGCCCCUCUGUUGACCUACGGAGGAGAACCAUACCUGCCAGAAAGCUGUAACCAGCAGAGCCGCGGCCACCUGUGGAGAGAGAGCAGAACGAGAGUGAAUCAUUGAAGAGCAAACUGUGAACGUGAUACCUACCCAGAAAGCUGUAAACAGCAGAGCCGGUGAGAAAUACUCGAAGUCUCAGUAACAGUGUCUUUGUGCCCUAGCGGCCACCUGUGGAGAGAGAGCAGAACGAGAGUGAAUCAUUGGAGAGCAAACUGUGAACGUGAUACCUACCCAGAGAGCUGCAAGCAGCAGAGCCGGUGAGAAUUACUCGAAGUCUCAGCAACAGUGUCUUUGUGUUCUAGCGGCCACCUGUGGAGAAAGAACGGAAAACGAAGACGAACAUGAGGAGAACGGACGGUGUGAAGAUACAGUGGUGGCGGAGGAGAGCCUAGAGUGGCCAUUGUUUUAAGUCCCCCGUUUCCCCUUCCCUAUUUAAUAUUUUUAAGUAAUUUAAUAAAGGAUAUUUUAAUUUUAUGCUUACCUUGUGUGUCUGGUCAUUGGGGUGGCUUUGGGAAUCUCCUCGAGGUGGAGAAAGGGGCGUGACCUUAUUUACAUCUGGGUCCACCCCUACCUGUGACAGAUUUGGCGUAGUCGGCAGUCCACCUCGGGUUGAGACCAAAGUCCCCCAAUGGCCUACCACAUUUCUUUUAAAGAACAGCUCCCAUCAACACUCCAUCAGUCCCCAAACAACGCGUUCUCGGGACGAGAACGGAUUGGCGGGGGAGGAUGUCACAAGGUGACGAUCUUUUGGGCGGAACCAAAAGUCGGGAAACUUUGGUUCCGCCCGGAUGUUUCCGUCCAGACCGAAGAACGGAAACACCGGACAUCCGGCAGAUUUGCGGAGGCUGUAAUCAGCCGAUUGGGCACAGCUGUGCCUAGUUAAAAGAGAUCGCCAGGCAAUUGGAUAACUGAAGCACAGAAGGGAGUAUUUAAAGCACAGUUAAAUGACAGUUCAGCAGUUCGGGCACGAGAGGGAGAUUGACACGGGGAGAGCUCCUCUGCUUAGGGCAGGAGAGGUAAAUACGUACCUUUUGAAGAGCCCGCAGGCUCUGUUGAUCCGGGCUGCGCUAGAAGCGCGCGGAAAGAAGACAGGAGCUGCCUGGGGUGAAAGAAAGGCGAUACGUGAGUGGAGAAAAGGAGCACCCCGAAGAGAGCAUUGUGCUGUCAAGCCUGUGCUUAGUGUGUGCUGGGAAACGGAGCUGUGCUCAUUGUUGGACGUGGUGGCUGUCUGUGGUUCUCUCUCUCUCUCGUUGCAGUUUUGAUUGUGGAUCUGCUGGAGUAAACAGGAAAAUCCUAUGGGUAAAAAGGAACUUGUUCUAACCAAUAUUGAAGGAGUAAAGCAGGAAGAAAAUUGACCUUCUGGUACAACGUAAACAAAGGCUAUUCGCCGUGAGUAUACCCUUUUUGUGUGGAGUAACUGGCAAAAGUUAACUUGUGUAACUAUUGGAAACCUCCAGGAGAAGGAGGGCGGCCCUACCCCUAUAAGAGUGUGGUGGGCGAGCCGUGAGAAGUCCAACUUCAAACAGCCACCGCAACGAGACUUAUUGUGGUCGUAUUUCCCAUCGCCUUAUCGUAGCCCAAGCGCAGUGGAGGACACCGGGUGCUUCCCUUGUUGUGGUGCACUUAUAGUGUGGUGAGUGAGACUGUGUAAUAAAUCUUUUUCACGUUUGGAGUGGUGCUGUGUAUAUUGCUGUGGGUUGCUGUGUGUCUUGUAGACGAAGCCCCGCAUCAUCCAUUUUCUUCCACUGGGCAGAGGACGGAGAGGCCAACGACUACAGAAAUCACUGUUACUAUAAGUAGUGUGCUGUUUGGAGUGCGAAGGGACGCAGACUAAGAGCUGUCCGUGACCGUGAGUAAACCAUUGGAAAACAUUUUGUGGUGUGAACUUCCCUGUGCCUGUUUUCGUCGCAGAGUCAGAGGCGAAAGGGUCCGCCGCCCCGUGGUCUCUACGAAAAGGGCGCCCCCGUCUAGAAAUCGAUCGGCCUAUGGGCAUUGGAGAUAGGGCAGCGCUCGACCCGGUGAGGUGGUGUGGGACCUUCGCCCCUCUGUUGACCUACGGAGGAGAACCAUACCUGCCAGAAAGCUGUAACCAGCAGAGCCGCGGCCACCUGUGGAGAGAGAGCAGAACGAGAGUGAAUCAUUGAAGAGCAAACUGUGAACGUGAUACCUACCCAGAAAGCUGUAAACAGCAGAGCCGGUGAGAAAUACUCGAAGUCUCAGUAACAGUGUCUUUGUGCCCUAGCGGCCACCUGUGGAGAGAGAGCAGAACGAGAGUGAAUCAUUGGAGAGCAAACUGUGAACGUGAUACCUACCCAGAGAGCUGCAAGCAGCAGAGCCGGUGAGAAUUACUCGAAGUCUCAGCAACAGUGUCUUUGUGUUCUAGCGGCCACCUGUGGAGAAAGAACGGAAAACGAAGACGAACAUGAGGAGAACGGACGGUGUGAAGAUACAGUGGUGGCGGAGGAGAGCCUAGAGUGGCCAUUGUUUUAAGUCCCCCGUUUCCCCUUCCCUAUUUAAUAUUUUUAAGUAAUUUAAUAAAGGAUAUUUUAAUUUUAUGCUUACCUUGUGUGUCUGGUCAUUGGGGUGGCUUUGGGAAUCUCCUCGAG